AGAGGGAGGCAGAAGAGGAAUCUUGGAGCGAUUCGAUGUGAGAAAGACUUGAUCAUAGUUGCUGGCUUUGACGAUGAAGGAAGGGGUCUGGGAGCCAAGGAAUGAAGAUGGCUUCUAGAAGCUGGGAAAGGCAAGGAAAUGAAUUGCCGCCAAGAACCUCCAGAAAGGAAUGCAGCCCUGUAAAAACCUUGAUUUUUGCUCAGUGAGAAUGAUUUCAGACUUCUGAUCUCAAGAACUGUAAGAUAAAUCACAUACUGUCACAAGACAUAACGAAAAGUGUGUGAAUUGUUGUUGGUGAGAAAACAUAAACAACCUUUGGGGAUGCGACUUUUCUUCAGUUGAGUAUGGACAUUGAACCUCUCCUAACGCUGUGUUCAAUGAUAAGACCAAGCCUAAGAUGUUUUAUGAUUUCCAGAAGUCAGUCAAUUAACAUUUGGAGAAUUCAAGGCCAUUAUCUCUCACAUCAAACACAUUCACUGAUGACUGAAGAUAAAAAAGAAACUCCAUAGGAAAUAUUAAAGGAUGUGAUGGCAGGUUUACAAUGCUGUUAAAAUAUAAAGUCUAAAAUGUAGUAUGUGGAGUUGUUUCGGAACUGACCUCCUACCCCAGCUCCGGUCACGACAGAAACUUUUAAGGAUCUUGAAUAAAUGAAGGUGUGUUUCUAUUGAUUCUGUUUUACACAAGUUUAAGACAAGGCUUUGAAAGUAAUGCCUAAAGCACACAUUGAUUUGUUUUUUUAAUAUAUGUUUGCUAAAAGAUUAAGCCAUCAAGAAGAUAUUUUCUAUCUAAAUAUUCUUUAUUGUUUAACAGGUUUUUUUCUCCCAGAAUUGCUUCUUUAGUUUCUGCCUUAUUCCUGAGAGAACAGUGGGGUUCUAUGAGGAUGUCCAAUAAGGUGACUUGAAGGAGAACAACCGAUAGAAUCACAAUGACAGUUUAAUGCUGGGAGAUACAGAUAAGAGCUCGUCUGUAAUCACAAAAGCCCAGCAUCUCAGAGAAGGAAGGGCCCUUAGAAUUCCAGUGUAAAGCAGGAAAUCCUAUUGCCGCAUGCUGGACAGGCUGUCAUCCAGCCUCCAGUUGAACAUCUUCUGUGAAGCAAAGCUCACCACCUCCCAAGCACUUGCUAUUCCAUUGUUUGUUUCCAAUUUAACUUCCACCCAUACUCUCAGUGCUGUUUUCUAGAUGACCCAUAUCCAAUCCUAUUUGCCAUAUUAUUUCUUCAAUUACUAGAAAGCAACUCUCAUAUCCCCCUACUUAGUCAUUUGCUCCUUUCUAAAGCCAACAAGUGUAGGGCAGGCAUAUGUAUGCAUGUCUGUUAUGUUGGACCCUCCUACAGUCUGAUGAUUACUUAGUGCAAUAACUUGUUGAUGCAUUCAUCAAAUGUGUGCUGAAUGCCUGGCAAGGAACAUGGACCAGUUCCCUGUCCUCAUGAAGACUACAUUCUAGUAAGUCAGACGAUGAACAAAUAAACAAGUAAAUAGUUAAGAUUAAAAAUAAUGAAAAGUGAAUACUUACUGAUUAGGGAGAUGAUUUUUAAGAUGAGACCUAAAGGAUAAAAAGGAACUAGGCCUGCAAACAGUCAGAGAGGAGGAUUCAAGGGCAGUAAGAACAAAGGCCCUAAGGUAGAAAAAGAACCUGGCCUCUUCUAGGUCAGUGCUCCAGGUCAGGGACUCUAGAACAUUAGUGGGAGAGAAGCUGAAGUGGCAGAAACUGAAACUGGAGAAGCAGACAGAACCAGACCAUGGUAUGGAGUUCGGAUUUUAUUCUAGGUGCAAUAGGAAUC
RNAcentral lists this long non-coding RNA (1780 nucleotides) under Equus caballus (horse). Its description in RNAcentral is "lncRNA (ENSECAG00000046523.1)". Lineage: Eukaryota; Metazoa; Chordata; Mammalia; Perissodactyla; Equidae. The record is from RNAcentral.